GUGGGGAAUAUUGGACAAUGGGGGGAACCCUGAUCCAGCCAUGCCGCGUGUGUGAAGAAGGCCUUUUGGUUGUAAAGCACUUUAAGCGAGGAGGAGGCUACCGAGAUUAAUACUCUUGGAUAGUGGACGUUACUCGCAGAAUAAGCACCGGCUAACUCUGUGCCAGCAGCCGCGGUAAUACAGAGGGUGCAAGCGUUAAUCGGAUUUACUGUGCGUAAAGCGCGCGUAGGUGGCCAAUUAAGUCAAAUGUGAAAUCCCCGAGCUUAACUUGGGAAUUGCAUUCGAUACUGGUUGGCUAGAGUAUGGGAGAGGAUGGUAGAAUUCCAGGUGUAGCGGUGAAAUGCGUAGAGAUCUGGAGGAAUACCGAUGGCGAAGGCAGCCAUCUGGCCUAAUGCUGACACUGAGGUGCGAAAGCAUGGGGAGCAAACAGGAUUAGAUACCCUAGUAGUCC
RNAcentral lists this ribosomal RNA (451 nucleotides) under uncultured bacterium. RNAcentral describes it as "partial 16S ribosomal RNA". It matches the Rfam family "Bacterial small subunit ribosomal RNA", at positions 354 to 796 of the family's 1533-position model. The record is from RNAcentral.